GCGCUCACUUAAGCAGCACAUAUACUGAAACAAGAACAAUACAGAGAUUAGCAUGGCCCCUGCACAAGGAUAACAAGCAAAUUGGUGAAGAGUUCCAUAUUUUU
This 104-nucleotide small nuclear RNA is filed under the name Procavia capensis (Cape rock hyrax). The record is from RNAcentral. Lineage: Eukaryota; Metazoa; Chordata; Mammalia; Hyracoidea; Procaviidae.